CGACAGAGAGUGCAAGCGUUAAUCGGAAUGACUGGGCGUAAAGGGCACGUAGGUGGAUGCAGGCGUUAUGUGUGAAAUAUCUGGGCUUAACCUGGGGAUUGCAUGUAAUACGCUGCGUCUAGAGUACAGUAGAGGAAAGUAGAAUUCCCGGUGUAGCGGUGAAAUGCGUAGAUAUCGGGAGGAAUACCAGUGGCGAAGGCGGCUUUCUGGACUGAUACUGACACUGAGGUGCGAAAGCGUGGGUAGCAAACAGGAUUAGAAACACCGGUAGUCC
This 274-nucleotide ribosomal RNA is filed under the name uncultured bacterium. RNAcentral's name for it is "partial 16S ribosomal RNA". It matches the Rfam family "Bacterial small subunit ribosomal RNA", at positions 523 to 796 of the family's 1533-position model. The record is from RNAcentral.